CCGCUUAGCGAACCGAAAGGAAGCGGCGGCCGACGGUGAGCUCGGUGACNGGGACU
This 56-nucleotide ribosomal RNA is filed under the name uncultured bacterium. RNAcentral describes it as "partial 16S ribosomal RNA". The record is from RNAcentral.